Molecule: non-coding RNA, 73 nt
Organism: Trichobilharzia regenti
Lineage: Eukaryota; Metazoa; Platyhelminthes; Trematoda; Strigeidida; Schistosomatidae
Source: Rfam
GUCCCAGUGGCUCAAUGGUCUACGAGCUCGGCUUGUAACCGAAAGGUCCUGGGUUCGAAUCCCGGUGGGUGUG